RNAcentral lists this long non-coding RNA (234 nucleotides) under Vigna radiata. RNAcentral describes it as "long non-coding RNA (VRAD_LNC015870)". The record is from RNAcentral. Lineage: Eukaryota; Viridiplantae; Streptophyta; Magnoliopsida; Fabales; Fabaceae.
CCGCCUCCUUCUGUCCAAAGAAUGCAUCUCAACUCGCAAUAGGGCUAUUUAUAGGUGAGGAGCGCAGCAGAAAAUAGGCCCAAGCCCAGCAGACAACCGCCCGGCGGAACAAGUGUGGCGCCCGGCAGUUUCCCACAAAUCGCACUACCGCCCGGCGAUAGGGGUCUACCACCCGACGGUUUCCCUCAAAUCGCAAAACCGCCCAGCGCCUACGCCAGGUGCCUACUCCUCGCC